Castor canadensis (American beaver) is the source of this 513-nucleotide non-coding RNA. NCBI's taxonomy places the organism in Eukaryota, Metazoa, Chordata, Mammalia, Rodentia, Castoridae. The record is from the annotation of a RefSeq genome assembly.
ACCAGAGCUCAGAAAAUGACCUGUUCCCCAGGACCAGUAAUUACACUGUUCUUAAUGUUAGGAGGAAGCAGUGGAGAAUCAGUGACCCAGAUGGAAGGCCAAGUGUUCCUCUCUGAAGGGAAUUCUCUCAUUGUGAACUGUUCCUAUGAAACCAAACAGUACCCUGCUCUAUUCUGGUAUGUCCAGUAUCCCAGAGAAGGUCCACAACUCCUCUUCAGAGUUGCAAGGGCUGGAGAAAAGGGGAGUCACAAAGGAUUUGAAGCCACAUACAGUAAAGAAACAACCUCCUUCCACUUGGAGAAGGCCUCAGUCCACGAGUCAGACUCAGCUGUGUAUUACUGUGCUCUGGGUGACACAGUGGCAGAAACCACAGGGGAAGCUGAGCACAAACUGAGCAGCACAGGGGCGUGGCUGCAGGGCGUCUGCUCUGGGAUCCCUCUGGUUAGGGAUGAGGAACACGUUUACAAUAUCACCACACACCCAAGUCCUGUUAUAUCACUAAGAAUACAAUAA